Tachyglossus aculeatus (Australian echidna) is the source of this 1292-nucleotide RNA transcript. It is a transcript of the gene named cytochrome c oxidase assembly factor 1 homolog, with no coding region annotated. Lineage: Eukaryota; Metazoa; Chordata; Mammalia; Monotremata; Tachyglossidae. The transcript is spliced from 8 exons. The record is from RefSeq and is a predicted model, not a curated record.
GGCGCGACGAGCGCGGCCGGUCCUGUCCCGUCGUGCGUGCAGGUUUUGAGGUUGUAGAACUUCAAAUCCCAGAUCGAGACGCAAUUCUGGGCAGAAGGAAGGCAGCAAGCAGAGAGAGCUUCUCUCUGAUGAAUCUCAAAAUCAAGAGAUUUCUGCAGCGAAGAUUUAUCAGCCUCAAGAUCCCCAAUGCCGGCUGUUUUAAGAAAACUAAGGCAUCUGGCUCUGUACAUGACACUGCUGAGUGGAGGGGGAUGCACGCUCAUGUAUUACCUUAUGCAGAAAAACUUCGCCAAGUCUGAGUUCUACCAGUUGGCUCUCGAGGAGCUGAAGAGGCAGCCCGCUGUCCUCGAGGCCCUCGGCGCUCCUCCCCUUAAGGUCCAUCACAUCAGCCUAACUGACCGGCACAACCGAAUCGAUGUGUCGGGAGCCCAGAUGAAGGUGCCCGUCUCUGGAUCCAAGACGGCUGGCGAGCUGUACAUCCACGCCCUCAGAGAUGUCCCCGGGAAGAGGUGGAAUCUGCAGGAGGUCAUCCUCCACCUCAAGGACGGCCAGCGCGUUCCCGUGUACCAGGCGGGGGUGGAAAAGGAGGCCGGGGGGAAAAGCCUUUGAGCCCCCCGACGCGUGACGGACUCCGUGAUGAGCGGCGUCCUCUUCAAAGAGCCAGCAGGCAAGGCUCACUUCAGUGGAGUGGAUCCGUUUCCAGCCUUCUGGUCUCCCUUCCAGGGGAAGGCUUUGGAGGGAUUUGGAUUGGACUGAACCCUGAGCUUCCGUCAGAACUCUUCUUCCUGGCAUGGCCUUAGUCUCAAGCCAAGUUCCUCCGCUGCUGAGGGGAAAGGAAGCCUCAAGAGAUGAGAAUGCCGCUGACGGGAAGUGAAACUCCGAGCUCGCUUGCUGUUUCUUCACUGCAGGAGUGUUCUCCGAGUGUAGAGGAGGAAGGAGUCCGUGAGUGCCAAAGCCACUUUUUCUCCAGAGUGUGUGGCCCCUGCUUAAUAACCCCUUCACUGUGACGUCGGCAUUGGUGCCCACUUGCCCAUGUCGCAUGACGCUCAGGAGCGAGGUGGGCGGCAAGCACCCCUCCUUUCCAUGCCCCCCAUGCCAGGGUGGCUUAGGAUACUGACCCUGGGGGAGCCUUUGAAAUUCUGGGGGAGCCCCAAACACGGGGAGAGGAAGGAUUUGCUACCAUCGCAAAGUUGAGCGCGUUUUCUUGCAGGUAACACAUGCUAUUAGAGGUGGCUGGGGAAAGGGCAGAGUUUAGCCUUCUCUUCCCCCUUUGGAAAAGCAGCAUGGCCUCA